Molecule: unclassified non-coding RNA, 198 nt
Filed under: uncultured Phanerochaete
Lineage: Eukaryota; Fungi; Basidiomycota; Agaricomycetes; Corticiales; Corticiaceae
Description: sequence contains ITS2
Source: RNAcentral
UAUUCUCAACCUUCAUAACUUUUGUUAUCGAAGGCUUGGACUUGGAGGUUGUGCUGGCUUCUAGUUAAGUCGGCUCCUCUUAAAUGUAUUAGCGUGAGUGUAACGGAUCGCUUCGGUGUGAUAAUUAUCUGCGCCGUGGUCGUGAAGUAACAUAAGCUUGCGCUUCUAACCGUCCUUCAGUUGGACAAUUACUUUGAC